Morus notabilis is the source of this 360-nucleotide long non-coding RNA. RefSeq lists it as uncharacterized. The record is from RefSeq and is a predicted model, not a curated record. The transcript has 2 exons. Lineage: Eukaryota; Viridiplantae; Streptophyta; Magnoliopsida; Rosales; Moraceae.
AAUAAUAUUGGAGAAUGAAGACAUCAAGAAGACUUGCUUUGAGAAAAGGUUCGCUUGGUAAAUGAAUGCUUGUAGGAUCUUCCAUAUCACAUCCGAGCACAAGAUUGUUUUUUGUUGAAUAAGGAAAAUGAUUCCAUGGAAAGAUAAAUCCUGGUUGCUUGAGAAAACUAUGGACACGGGGUUUUUGUUUUGUUGAAACUAUCUUGUUUUUUAGAUAUGAGAAAAGGUUUUCGAGCGUGUUGAUUUUAUCAAUUGUGUCCUGUCCUUUUUGUAGAACUUUUCAACAUCAACUUUCUAAAGAACGUCACUGUAAACUCCCUUAUUAUUAUUAUCCAUAAUUUGUACUCACUGUUGAUGAUA